UACAGAGGGUGCGAGCGUUAAUCGGAAUUACUGGGCGUAAAGCGUGCGUAGACGGUUAUGUAAGUCGGAUGUGAAAGCCCCGGGCUCAACCUGGGAAUUGCAUUCGAGACUGCAUAGCUAGGGUGCGGAAGAGGGAAGCGGAAUUUCCGGUGUAGCGGUGAAAUGCGUAGAUAUCGGAAGGAACACCAGUGGCGAAAGCGGCUUCCUGGUCCAGCACCGACGUUCAGGCACGAAAGCGUGGGGAGCAAACAGG
This 253-nucleotide ribosomal RNA is filed under the name uncultured bacterium. Its description in RNAcentral is "partial 16S ribosomal RNA". It matches the Rfam family "Bacterial small subunit ribosomal RNA", at positions 524 to 776 of the family's 1533-position model. The record is from RNAcentral.